Molecule: ribosomal RNA, 497 nt
Filed under: uncultured bacterium
Lineage: Bacteria
Description: partial 16S ribosomal RNA
Rfam family: Bacterial small subunit ribosomal RNA
Source: RNAcentral
GAUGAACGCUGGCGGCGUGCCUAAUACAUGCAAGUCGAGCGAACAGACGAGGAGCUUGCUCCUCUGACGUUAGCGGCGGACGGGUGAGUAACACGUGGAUAACCUACCUAUAAGACUGGGAUAACUUCGGGAAACCGGAGCUAAUACCGGAUAAUAUAUUGAACCGCAUGGUUCAAUAGUGAAAGACGGUUUUGCUGUCACUUAUAGAUGGAUCCGCGCCGCAUUAGCUAGUUGGUAAGGUAACGGCUUACCAAGGCAACGAUGCGUAGCCGACCUGAGAGGGUGAUCAGCCACACUGGAACUGAGGCACGGUCCAGACUCCUACGGGAGGCAGCAGUAGGGAAUCUUCCGCAAUGGGCGAAAGCCUGACGGAGCAACGCCGCGUGAGUGAUGAAGGUCUUCGGAUCGUAAAACUCUGUUAUUAGGGAAGAACAAAUGUGUAAGUAACUAUGCACGUCUUGACGGUACCUAAUCAGAAAGCCACGGCUAACUACGUG